CCUACGGGGGGCAGCAGUGAGGAAUAUUGGUCAAUGGACGAGAGUCUGAACCAGCCAAGUAGCGUGAAGGAUGACUGCCCUCUGGGUUGUAAACUUCUUUUAUAAAGGAAUAAAACGAGGCACGUGUGCCUUUUUGCAUGUACUUUAUGAAUAAGGUUCGGCUAACUCCGUGCCAGCAGCCGCGGUAAUACGGAGGAUCCGAGCGUUAUCCGGAUUUAUUGGGUUUAAAGGGAGCGUAGAUGGGUUGUUAAGUCAGUUGUGAAAGUUUGCGGCUCAACCGUAAAAUUGCAAUUGAUACUGGCAGUCUAGAGUACAGUUGAGGUAGGCGGAAUUCGUGGUGUAGCGGUGAAAUGCUUAGAUAUGACGAAGAACACCGAUUGCGAAGGCAGCUUACUAAACUGUGACUGACAUUGAUGCUCGAAAGUGUGGGUAUCAAACAGGAUUAGAUACCCUAGUAGUC
This 460-nucleotide ribosomal RNA is filed under the name uncultured bacterium. Its description in RNAcentral is "partial 16S ribosomal RNA". It matches the Rfam family "Bacterial small subunit ribosomal RNA", at positions 338 to 795 of the family's 1533-position model. The record is from RNAcentral.